Molecule: long non-coding RNA, 609 nt
Organism: Apus apus (common swift)
Lineage: Eukaryota; Metazoa; Chordata; Aves; Apodiformes; Apodidae
Exons: 4
Source: RefSeq, a predicted model, not a curated record
CCAGCGCGCACAUACACACACAGAGGAAGCGAGCGAGAGAAAGAGAUCACAUUUUAUUAUCUGACACAGUGGAAAUUUUAAUAAUGGAGAGACACUACCAGGACUUGGUGUGCACCCCAUGUUUGCAUUUUUGCAUUAGUUUGACUCCAGAGGAACACGUUGGGGAACAAGUUUGGCUAUCAGACAUGAAGGAUGUCUGUAAUGCCAAUUAAAUCUCCUGGUACUUCCAGCGAUUCCUGUCCACAUGGCUGGUUUUACAGGCGAGCUAUGAACAGCACUGCAUGGGGGCACUGCACAAUGGGGAACACCAACCUCGCCAGGAGCCGUUUAUGUAACUUUUCACUGGAAAACACGUCACGCAGGCCAUGUUUAUUACAUGUUCCAGUGUUCUACUUGAUUUGUUAGUCCCAGAUUUCUGCCAUUCUUCCGUUAAUGCUAAGUAAAUAAUAACAGGGAAAAAAAAUAAAAACGGGGAGGCAUUUUUUACUGGGAAAGGAUGGAGGAUUAUGCAAACAUGUCUGAAAAAUGUUCUUCUGCCACACUUCUAAAUAGCAUGAAAAUGUAUCUUGGCGCCCGGUUGUUGUUCUAAAAAAAGUGUUACUCGCUGUA